RNAcentral lists this ribosomal RNA (426 nucleotides) under uncultured bacterium. Its description in RNAcentral is "bacterial SSU rRNA". It matches the Rfam family "Bacterial small subunit ribosomal RNA", at positions 355 to 776 of the family's 1533-position model. The record is from RNAcentral.
UGAGGAAUAUUGGUCAAUGGUCGCGAGACUGAACCAGCCAAGUAGCGUGCAGGACGACGGCCCUCUGGGUUGUAAACUGCUUUUAGUUGGGAAUAAAAGGCGGUACGUGUACCGCGUAUUGUAUGUACCAUCAGAAAAAGGACCGGCUAAUUCCGUGCCAGCAGCCGCGGUAAUACGGAAGGUCCAGGCGUUAUCCGGAUUUAUUGGGUUUAAAGGGAGCGUAGGCGGAUUUUUAAGUCAGUUGUGAAAGUUUGAGGCUCAACCUUAAAAUUGCAGUUGAAACUGGAAGUCUUGAGUGCACGCAGAGGUGCCGGAAUUCAUGGUGUAGCGGUGAAAUGCUUAGAUAUCAUGAAGAACUCCGAUCGCGAAGGCAAGUGCCUGGAGUGCUACUGACGCUGAGGCUCGAAAGUGCGGGUAUCAAACAGG